CGCAGGGAGGCCCGGGCCAAUGCCGAGCCCCUGGAACACUGUCAACAAACAAGCCGCCGGCCAGACAGCAGCCGGAGGCCUCACCUGGAAGUCGUACAGCGCCACGAUGUUCUCGUGCUUCAGCUCCUAGGACGGAACCCCAACAUCUCACCAGCCAGGUCAUGUUUCUGAAAACCAAGAGUGGCUUUUCAAGGCUGGGAUCAUGCAGAGACCCCUGUCCCGGCUCAGAAGUGGCCAGGCCAUGUGUCACCAGGCUGCGUCUGAUAGGUCCCUGAAGCCGAAACAGGAAACCAAACCUGGAAUGGUGGAAAAAGAACUUUCAGCAAGGUUGGUGAUGCCCCGUCUCAGGUCUGGUGGAGGGCCACCUUCCUGUCAGGGCGUGGCCGCUAGCCCGCGGGCCUGGAGCUGAAGAUCCUUGCUGGCUGUGGAGAGAGGCCCAGCCCAGCCCAGCAGGUGGGGCCCAGUUUUGUUUUGGGA
Molecule: long non-coding RNA, 477 nt
Organism: Octodon degus (degu)
Lineage: Eukaryota; Metazoa; Chordata; Mammalia; Rodentia; Octodontidae
Exons: 5
Source: RefSeq, a predicted model, not a curated record